CCGUACAGAGGAAAGCCGAUAAAAAGUCAAUUCCACUUAACUGAAUGGCUGCUAACUAAAUAUUUUGGGGGCCAGAGCCUUCCUAGAUAGCAGCUGGAGCGUCUCUGUUCCGGAACUGAGACAUCAAGCCGGGGCUGUUCAUCGACAGGCGGAGACCCCUGUUCUCUAUAAACCCGAGAUGAAGAACAGUAUCACACGAAGCGCAGACGAUAUCCCAGGAGAUUACUAUGUGGCUACUGUUCUGAAACAGACAACAGCUCCAGACAGCUCCAGACAGCCAGCCCAGAAAACUCACCACAUGAGGCUUGGGGAGUCAGCUUUGGCCCAAGUUGCGAAAUGGACACAGGUGCUGUGAAGAGGAGGAAAUGAAGAAAAUCC
Molecule: long non-coding RNA, 378 nt
Organism: Tachyglossus aculeatus (Australian echidna)
Lineage: Eukaryota; Metazoa; Chordata; Mammalia; Monotremata; Tachyglossidae
Exons: 3
Source: RefSeq, a predicted model, not a curated record